UUUAUAUUCUUUCAUCAGCUAAGAAGAACUGGUAUUCAAGAAUCCACAGAAAAUUCGCUUUCUUCUAAACCAAGAGCACCAAGAACUACCUCCUUUCUUCACUUGAAUGAAACAAACAAUGUAGAACAUGAUGACAUUCCUGCUAAUUGUACCACCGUUUAUAACAGAGGCGAACAUACAAGUGGCAUCUAUUCCAUUAGACCCAGCAACUCGCAAGUUUUUAAUGUCUACUGUGAUGUUAAAUCAGAUAGGUCAUGGACAUUAAUUCAACACCGAACAGAUGGAUCACAAAACUUCAAUGAAACCUGGGAAAACUACAGAUAUGGUUUUGGGAGACUUGAUGG
This is a non-coding RNA of Leptonychotes weddellii (Weddell seal), 344 nucleotides long. NCBI's taxonomy places the organism in Eukaryota, Metazoa, Chordata, Mammalia, Carnivora, Phocidae. The record is from RefSeq and is a predicted model, not a curated record.